UGGGGAAUAUUGCACAAUGGGCGCAAGCCUGAUGCAGCAACGCCGCGUGAGGGAUGACGGCCUUCGGGUUGUAAACCUCUUCUAGCAGGGAAGAAGCGAAAGUGACGGUACCUGCAGAAAAAGCGCCGGCUAACUACGUGCCAGCAGCCGCGGUAAUACGUAGGGCGCAAGCGUUAUCCGGAAUUAUUGGGCGUAAAGAGCUCGUAGGCGGUUUGUCGCGUCUGCUGUGAAAUCCCGAGGCUCAACCUCGGGUCUGCAGUGGGUACGGGCAGACUAGAGUGCGGUAGGGGAGAUUGGAAUUCCUGGUGUAGCGGUGGAAUGCGCAGAUAUCAGGAGGAACACCGAUGGCGAAGGCAGAUCUCUGGGCCGUAACUGACGCUGAGGAGCGAAAGGGUGGGGAGCAAACAGGCUUAGAUACCCUGGUAGUCCAUGCCGUAAACGUUGGGCACUAGGUGUGGGGUCCAUUCCACGGAUUCCGUGCCGCAGCAAACGCAUUAAGUGCCCCGCCUGGGGAGUACGGCCGCAAGGCU
This 530-nucleotide ribosomal RNA is filed under the name uncultured bacterium. RNAcentral describes it as "partial 16S ribosomal RNA". It matches the Rfam family "Bacterial small subunit ribosomal RNA", at positions 355 to 895 of the family's 1533-position model. The record is from RNAcentral.